RNAcentral lists this long non-coding RNA (6035 nucleotides) under Brassica napus (rape). Its description in RNAcentral is "long non-coding RNA (BNAP_LNC004197)". Lineage: Eukaryota; Viridiplantae; Streptophyta; Magnoliopsida; Brassicales; Brassicaceae. The record is from RNAcentral.
CCGCCCGCCCCUCCAAGUAGUUAAUUGAUCAGUACGGUGGUCUCCCUUCUGUGAUUCGCUAUCUCUAGGUUCCUGGGCGGUCCAGUAGUGGUUUCAAUGGGCACGAAACCGUUUGUACAUCCAGCUCCUCAGUACAAAACCAUAGAAACCUUUUGGGACGAGGAAGAAGACGCCCCUGGUCCUAGAUGCGCUCAUACACUUACAGCCGUUGCAGCUACCAAGACUCACGGCCCUCAUCUCAUACUCUUCGGCGGCGCCACCGCUAUUGAGGGCGGGAACUCUCCCUCCGUACCUGGGAUCAGUAAGUAUCCUUGAUGGAUUAAACUUGAAUCUCGGAUUUUGAUCUGAUGCUGGGGGUUGUUUUCUAGGGUUAGCUGGUGUCACCAACUCGGUUCAUUCUUAUGAUGUUCUCACUAGGAAGUGGACAAGGUAAAUAGAGAGACACACACACACAUUCAUUCUCAUGUGUUUUUCUUUCUUUUUUUGGUUUACUGUUUUCUUGAAACCGGAUUUGUGUAGGCUUAAACCGGCUGGUGAGCCUCCUUCCCCUAGGGCUGCUCACGCCGCAGCUGCUGUUGGCACCAUGGUCGUUUUUCAGGUUUUUUAUAUGAUCAGACCAUUUAAUUGUCAGUUAGCACUGUCGACACAUACAUAGUUUAUGUUUGGUCGAUUAACAGGGUGGCAUUGGCCCAGCCGGGCAUUCUACGGAUGAUCUUUACGUUCUUGACAUGACUAAUGAUAAGUACAAGUGGCAUAGGUGAGAGAUUCUUUCUCAGCCUUGCUAUUUAUUGUAUUGAUGUUGAUGAUGAGAGACAGUAUUAUAUUCUUGCCUGUGUGUCCAGGGUGGUAGUUCAAGGGGAGGGUCCAGGCCCUCGCUAUGGUCAUGUUAUGGAUUUAGUUUCUCAGAGGUAUCUUGUCACCGUCACCGGAAAUGAUGGUAAGGAUUUAUUAUCCGACUUUUCAUUAGCUUUGCUUCAUAAUUUCUGUUUUCCUCUGUAAGGGAUGGGGACCAUCAGAGAAUGCUACUUAGAUAUAUGUAUAUGUAUUUUUUUUGCUUUCGACUUUAUAUCUUCUUAGAUUCUGUUGAAAUAUUUUUGUUCAUCUAUGUAUGGAACAGGGAAACGAGCUCUCUCUGACGCUUGGGCAUUGGAUACAGCUCAGAAACCAUAUGCAUGGCAGAGACUGAACCCUGAUGGUGACCGACCAAGUGCUAGGAUGUUAGUAAAUCUACUUCAUUUGAAUUUUUAAUGUAAGAACAUCCUAAACUUUCAUACUUCGAUAUUCCUCCUGUGCACAGGUAUGCUUCUGGCAGUGCUCGUUCUGAUGGCAUGUUUUUACUCUGCGGGGGAAGAGACACCUUGGGGGUGGUAUAAUUAUCUUCUCCGCUACUUUUCUUCUGUGUAUUGGAAGUAUUAGACUUCUCUUUCGAGGAUAGGGAUAUAUAUAUAUUAAUUUCGAAGUUAUUGUGCGGUAUGGUCUCAAUAUUAAGACGUUUAUCUCCUCCAUGCGUAUCCCUUUAACAUGGUCCGUGCAUCUAUCUGCAGCCACAGGGAGAUGCUUACGGUUUACUCAUGCAUAGAAAUGGUCAGUGGGAAUGGACUCUGGCUCCAGGUGUGGCCCCUUCUCCAAGAUACCAGCAUGCAGCGGUAACCUAAAUCUUACUCUAGUCUCAAAACCCAUGGAAAAUAAGUUCUCAAGUGUAGACUGACUGCACGUUGUAUGUAGCCUUAGAAACUAAGUCAAACACUUAUUUGGGUAUAAGAAAGAUAAAAAAGGAUUGGUGAGGAGUUGAAUUUCAAUGGACAAUACAGUGCUCUAAUCAUAUCCGUUUGAUUGUUUUUCUCAUCAGGUAUUUGUAGGUGCAAGAUUGCAUGUCAGCGGUGGCGUUCUGAGAGGAGGCCGCGUGAUAGAUGCUGGAGCAUGUGUUGCAGGUAUUCAAUGACUGUUUUCCUACCAAGUAAUUUUGGUGUUUCACAAGCCUCCCCUGGAGUUACUCACUCGUAGCCAUUUUUCAGUAUUGGUAGUUAUGAUGAAAUCUUUAUUCUCGCAGUGCUUGAUACUGCUGCCGGUGUAUGGUUGGACAAAAAUGGGCAAGUGACCUCUGCGCGUGGCAGUAAAGUACAAAUGGAUCAAGAUCCGUCUUUUGAACUUAUGAGACGCUGUCGCCAUGGUGCUGCAUCAGUUGGUAUCCGUAUCUAUGUACAUGGUGGUCUUAGAGGAGGUUAAAUUGAUUCUUGGGACACUUGCAUUUCUCUGAGUUUAGUGAAUGCCUUUCUAAGUUGCCCUACUUUUAUUCACCUCGCAGAUGUGUUGCUUGACGAUUUUCUAGUCGCUGAAAAUUCAACAUUCCAGUCAGACAUCAGUUCUCCUCUGUCAGCAUCAUCAGAUAGAACCCAACAAAGCUCUACUCCCAGGUUUUCUUAUGCCGCACGACCUCCUUCAGGCUCUGAACCAGCAUCCGAAGGAAUGAGGUUUUCUUACACUCUUCUUCUUGCCUUUGUGCUUUAACUUUAUUAUCUAAGUUGUUCGAUCGUUACAUAUCUAUCUAUCAGCUUGGAUGAAAAUUCCUUGGAGAAAUUGACGGAGGCUUCUGCGGCCGAAGCCCAAGUAGCUAGUUCUGUUUGGCGAGCUGCACAAUUAAGUUCUGCUUCUCUAGAUGAAGAACCCUCUGCAUCUGAUGGCAGCUCUCCAACAGUAGAAACCAUUACUGAUUAUCCUGAAACUGAAGGAGAUGUCCGGCUUCAUCCAAGAGCUGUAUGUUACUUAAUCCCCAAUUAUUAAUAUUUCUUUUGGUUUCUUUUAUAUCCAUUUGAUUACCAAAAAAAAUGGCCUUACUACCUCAUUUUAUAGGUUGUGGUAGCAAAGGAGACGGUAGGCAGUCUAGGCGGCAUGGUGAGACAGCUAAGCUUGGAUCAGUUUCAGAACAGCAAACAAUUGAAUAAUGCGAGUUUUUGGUACUUAUUAAUCCAUUGAACGUAUCAACCUCAGGUAUAUUGAUUAUUUAUUUUUGGGAGAUUAUGUCGACCGGGGGCAACACAGCCUGGAGACUAUAACUUUGCUGCUUGCAUUGAAGGCAAGACGGUGCCUAAUAUCAUAUCAUCCAUAUUACUAGUUUCAUUAUAAAUUGUGUUUACGGUCCUUUGCAGAUUGAAUAUCCGGAGAAUGUUCACUUGAUUCGUGGAAAUCACGAGGCUGCUGAUAUCAAUGCCCUAUUUGGUUUCCGUCUUGAGUGCAUAGAAAGACUGGUAUAUUGUCAUUUUUCUCUAGAUUUUCUGCUUGGGUUGACUAAGCCUGCUUUUUACAUUUUUUUUAUCAGGGAGAGAAUGAUGGGAUCUGGGCGUGGACAAGAUUCAAUCAACUUUUCAAUUAUCUUCCCCUGGCUGCUCUCAUCGAGAACAAAAUUAUAUGUAUGCAUGGUGGGAUUGGGAGGUCAAUCAGUUCAAUGGAGCAGAUCGAAAAAAUCGAAAGGCCAAUAACAAUGGAUGCUGGAUCCCUUAUUCUUAUGGAUUUAUUAUGGUAACACGUCCUUUAUGCUCCUGCUUUAAAUAUUGAUCUCUUUAUCUUACAUUACCAUGUUAUAAUUUAAUAUUUUUGAAGUAUAGGUCUGAUCCUACAGAGAAUGAUAGUAUAGAGGGUUUGAGACCAAACGCCAGAGGACCCGGACUUGUCACGUUUGGGGUAAAAACACAUUCCCUUAUCGUCUGUUAUUCAUUAAUAUAAUCCUUUUGGGACCAACCACUGAGGUUGUUAUAAGUCUUGAUAAUUGAUGGAUGCUGGAUCCCUUAUUCUUAUGGAUUUAUUAUGGUAACACGUCCUUUAUGCUCCUGCUUUUAAUAUUGAUCUCUUUAUCUUACAUUACCAUGUUAUAAUUUAAUAUUUUUGAAGUAUAGGUCUGAUCCUACAGAGAAUGAUAGUAUAGAGGGUUUGAGACCAAACGCCAGAGGACCCGGACUUGUCACGUUUGGGGUAAAAACACAUUCCCUUACCGUCGGUUAUUCAUUAAUAUAAUCCUUUUGGGACCAACCACUGAGGUUGUUAUAAGUCUUGAUAUUUACAGCCUGAUCGAGUUACAGAGUUCUGUAAGAAGAAUAAACUACAGCUAAUUAUCAGAGCCCAUGAAUGUGUAAUGGAUGGAUUCGAAAGAUUUGCACAGGGGCAGUUGAUUACGCUUUUCUCGGCCACAAAUUACUGCGGUGGGGACAAAACAAAAAUUAUCUAUGUUUGUAUUCUUGGAUGGGCUUGAGGUAACCAAUAAAACCAUUUUGGUGAUACUCUUUUCUAACAGGAACCGCGAACAAUGCGGGAGCUAUAUUGGUGGUUGGCAGAGGACUGGUGAUUGUUCCCAAGCUGAUUCAUCCUCUUCCACCUCCCAUCCUAUCUCCAGAGAAUUCUCCUGAACAUUCUGGAGACGACGCUUGGAUGCAGGUAACAACACACAUCUCUGUCUUUGUAUCUAAAUCUGAAACACAUUUAGUUCUGUAACAUGACAUUAUUCCUACCAUGUACACUAGCACUGUCUUUAUUUUAGCUGGUGAACGGGAACAAGUCGACCGUAGUUACUAGUCAUCUGUGUGCAUCCACAGCAUCGUCACUUGCUUAGAUAAAUUGAAUGGUCCUAUAACAAGCUUAUUAGAGAAAUUGAUAACUCCUGGAACGAUAUAGUAGUUUAUGUAGGCUGUACAUUUGUUUUGUUGUAGCUAAAAAAGAAUCAGACACUGGAACUAAAGUAUCUGUGUGCAGGAGCUAAAUAUCCAGAGACCGCCUACUCCAACACGAGGGAGGCCACAACCGGACUUUGACAGAAGCUCGCUUGCAUACAUCUAAAACUAAAUUGCAUUCGCGUUUUUUUUUUUUGAGUAAAAUAUCUGAAUCCGAAGAACCAAACCAAACUAGAUUUGAAAGAUAUACUAAACACAAACUAAAACUGAUUAAGUACUCAAAUAGAUCCGAGAGUUUAAUAGUUAGAAAACCAGACCUCAAUCUGGUCCAAACCAAAAUAUUUUGGGUACCAAAAAUAUCUAAAUCACAAUUAUAUAUUUAAUAUGUUAAUUAUUUUAAAUUUUAUAUCUAUUAGAUAUUUAAAAUUAUGAAAAUAUAUAAAAAUUAUCAGCACUGUCACAAGUAAAUAUCUAAAAAUAACAGAAAAAUGUUCAAAAUACUGAAAGUAUUUAUUUUUUCUCCAUCCAAAUAUUGAAAUUGAAAUAAUUUUAAAAUAUUUAGUCUUACAUUAUUCAAAUUUUUGUGUUUAUAUUAUUUUAUUUCAAAUUUUUAGGAUUUAAGUAUAUUUGGAUUUUUGUUAAAAAAUACAUAAUUAAGAUGGGUACCCGAAUUCGAAUUCACACCAAAUCCGGACCGAAACUGCAAUGAUUCCAACCAAAUCCGAAUCAAAUUUUGUAAAUAUACGGAUACGAUUUAAAUUUAUUACUCUAAAAAUCUGAAAUCCGAAUAGAUUAACAGAAUCCAAACGGAUAUAUGAAUGCCCAUCCCUAGAAAAAAUUAUACAACAAAUCUCUUAGUACAAUAUACAAUAAAAAAUAUAAUAAAUUAUUUCACUGUGAGCGGAUUUCUGCUUACUAACAAUAAUAUUUGAAAGUCGACUCAAUUAAUUUAAGUUAGUAAAAAUUUACCGUUAUGUACAUGAUUAAAUCUGAAAUACUGAGGGGUAGAAUCGACAUUUUACUACAGCAAUAAAGCCGUUGACUAGAAAAGGGAACUAAAUUACAGCUCAGCAGCAAAUGGCUUGUCUCUCUCCGCCCGCCCCUCCAAGUAGUUAAUUGAUCAGUACGGUGGUCUCCCUUCUGUGAUUCGCUAUCUCUAGGUUCCUGGGCGGUCCAGUAGUGGUUUCAAUGGGCACGAAACCGUUUGUACAUCCAGCUCCUCAGUACAAAACCAUAGAAACCUUUUGGGACGAGGAAGAAGACGCCCCUGGUCCUAGAUGCGCUCAUACACUUACAGCCGUUGCAGCUACCAAGACUCACGGCCCUCAUCUCAUACUCUUCGGCGGCGCCACCGCUAUUGAGGGCGGGAACUCUCCC